UAGGGAAUCUUCGGCAAUGGGGGCAACCCUGACCGAGCAACGCCGCGUGAGUGAAGAAGGUUUUCGGAUCGUAAAGCUCUGUUGUAAGUCAAGAACGGGUGUGAGAGUGGAAAGUUCACACUGUGACGGUAGCUUACCAGAAAGGGACGGCUAACUACGUGCCAGCAGCCGCGGUAAUACGUAGGUCCCGAGCGUUGUCCGGAUUUAUUGGGCGUAAAGCGAGCGCAGGCGGUUUGAUAAGUCUGAAGUUAAAGGCUGUGGCUCAACCAUAGUUCGCUUUGGAAACUGUCAAACUUGAGUGCAGAAGGGGAGAGUGGAAUUCCAUGUGUAGCGGUGAAAUGCGUAGAUAUAUGGAGGAACUCCGGUGGCGAAAGCGGCUCUCUGGUCUGUAACUGACGCUGAGGCUCGAAAGCGUGGGGAGCGAACAGG
RNAcentral lists this ribosomal RNA (429 nucleotides) under bacterium. Its description in RNAcentral is "partial 16S ribosomal RNA". It matches the Rfam family "Bacterial small subunit ribosomal RNA", at positions 355 to 776 of the family's 1533-position model. The record is from RNAcentral.